GGGCCUAUAGCUCAGUCGGUUAGAGCAGUGGACUCAUAAUCCGUUGGUCGACAGUUCAAGUCUGUCUGGGCCCACCA
RNAcentral lists this transfer RNA (77 nucleotides) under Acinetobacter ursingii. RNAcentral describes it as "tRNA-Met". It matches the Rfam family "tRNA". From Rfam's summary of the family: Transfer RNA (tRNA) molecules are approximately 80 nucleotides in length. Their secondary structure includes four short double-helical elements and three loops (D, anti-codon, and T loops). The record is from RNAcentral. Lineage: Bacteria; Pseudomonadati; Pseudomonadota; Gammaproteobacteria; Moraxellales; Moraxellaceae.